GACGAACGCUGGCGGCGUGCUUAACACAUGCAAGUCGAACGAAGAGCGAUGGAAGCUUGCUUCUAUCAAUCUUAGUGGCGAACGGGUGAGUAACGCGUAAUCAACCUGCCCUUCAGAGGGGGACAACAGUUGGAAACGACUGCUAAUACCGCAUACGAUCUAAUCUCGGCAUCGAGGAUAGAUGAAAGGUGGCCUCUACAUGUAAGCUAUCACUGAAGGAGGGGAUUGCGUCUGAUUAGCUAGUUGGAGGGGUAACGGCCCACCAAGGCGAUGAUCAGUAGCCGGUCUGAGAGGAUGAACGGCCACAUUGGGACUGAGACACGGCCCUGACUCCUACGGGAGGCAGCAGUGGGGAAUCUUCCGCAAUGGACGAAAGUCUGACGGAGCAACGCCGCGUGAGUGAUGACGGCCUUCGGGUUGUAAAGCUCUGUUAAUCGGGACGAAAGGCCUUCUUGCGAAUAGUGAGAAGGAUUGACGGUACCGGAAUAGAAAGCCACGGCUAACUACGUG
This 510-nucleotide ribosomal RNA is filed under the name uncultured bacterium. Its description in RNAcentral is "partial 16S ribosomal RNA". It matches the Rfam family "Bacterial small subunit ribosomal RNA", at positions 28 to 507 of the family's 1533-position model. The record is from RNAcentral.